RNAcentral lists this ribosomal RNA (788 nucleotides) under uncultured Sphingobacteriia bacterium. Its description in RNAcentral is "bacterial SSU rRNA". It matches the Rfam family "Bacterial small subunit ribosomal RNA", at positions 70 to 859 of the family's 1533-position model. Lineage: Bacteria; Pseudomonadati; Bacteroidota; Sphingobacteriia. The record is from RNAcentral.
AUUGGAGAGCUUGCUUUCCAUGAGAGUGGCGCACGGGUGCGUAACACGUAUGUAACCUACCUUUAUCAGGGGGAUAGCCUCUCGAAAGAGAGAUUAAGCCCGCAUAAAAUCACAUUAUGGCAUCAUGGAGUGAUCAAAUAUUUAUAGGAUAAAGAUGGGCAUGCGGAACAUUAGCUAGUUGGUAAGGUAAUGGCUUACCAAGGCUACGAUGUUUAGGGGAUCUGAGAGGAUGACCCCCCACACUGGUACUGAGACACGGACCAGACUCCUACGGGAGGCAGCAGUAAGGAAUAUUGGUCAAUGGGCGGAAGCCUGAACCAGCCAUGCCGCGUGCAGGAAGACGGCCCUACGGGUUGUAAACUGCUUUUGUACCGGAAUAAACCCUGAUUCGUGAAUCAGGCUGAAUGUACGGUAAGAAUAAGGAUCGGCUAACUCCGUGCCAGCAGCCGCGGUAAUACGGAGGAUCCAAGCGUUAUCCGGAUUUAUUGGGUUUAAAGGGUGCGUAGGUGGCUUUUUAAGUCAGGGGUGAAAGACGGUAGCUUAACUAUCGCAGUGCCUUUGAUACUGAAGAGCUUGAAUGAACUAGAGGUAGGCGGAAUGUGACAAGUAGCGGUGAAAUGCAUAGAUAUGUCACAGAACACCAAUUGCGAAGGCAGCUUACUAUGGUUUUAUUGACACUGAGGCACGAAAGCGUGGGGAUCAAACAGGAUUAGAUACCCUGGUAGUCCACGCCCUAAACGAUGAAUACUCGAUGUUGGCGAUAUACGGUCAGCGUCAAAGCGAAAGCG